RNAcentral lists this ribosomal RNA (474 nucleotides) under uncultured Planifilum sp. Its description in RNAcentral is "partial 16S ribosomal RNA". The record is from RNAcentral. Lineage: Bacteria; Bacillati; Bacillota; Bacilli; Caryophanales; Thermoactinomycetaceae.
CACGUAGUUAGCCGGGGCUUUCUCCUUCGGUACCGUCAUGCGAGAGAGUUGUUCGCCCUCCCGCCAUUCUUCCCGAAGAACAGAGCUUUACAACCCGAAGGCCGUCCUCGCUCACGCGGCGUUGCUCCGUCAGGCUUGCGCCCAUUGCGGAAAAUUCCCUACUGCUGCCUCCCGUAGGAGUCUGGGCCGUGUCUCAGUCCCAGUGUGGCCGGUCACCCUCUCAGGUCGGCUACGCAUCGUCACCUUGGUGAGCCGUUACCUCACCAACUAGCUAAUGCCGCCGCGGGCCCAUCCCGCAAGUGGCAGCCGAGGCCGCCUUUCCACCCCGGAUCAUGCGAUCCGGGGUCCUAUCCGGUAUUACGCUUCCGGUUUCCCGAAGUUACUCCCGGUCUUGGCGGGUCAGGGUUCGCCCACGUGUUACUCACCCGUUCGCCGCUGUGUUUGAAGGCACGCCCCUCGAAACCCCGCCGACUU